UACGGAGGGGGCUAGCGUUGUUCGGAAUUACUGGGCGUAAAGCGCGCGUAGGCGGACCUGCAAGUCGGGGGUGAAAGCCCGAGGCUCAACCCCGGAACUGCCUUCGAUACUGCGGGUCUCGAGUCCGGGAGAGGUGAGUGGAAUUCCUAGUGUAGAGGUGAAAUUCGUAGAUAUUAGGAAGAACACCAGUGGCGAAGGCGGCUCACUGGCCCGGUACUGACGCUGAGGCGCGAAAGCGUGGGGAGCAAACAGG
Molecule: ribosomal RNA, 253 nt
Filed under: uncultured bacterium
Lineage: Bacteria
Description: partial 16S ribosomal RNA
Rfam family: Bacterial small subunit ribosomal RNA
Source: RNAcentral